UUCUUCCAGAAAGAGUUAAGGCUGAUUCUUUCAAUCCCUGAACAGUUACGAGUUCUGAAGCUUACAGUAUCACAAGGAAACAUUUUAUCCUCUGGUUGGCAGGCUUUGACUAGUGGGGUUAGGUGCUUACAAUCUGUAUCAAUUAUGGGGACCAAAUUAAUAUUUCUAAGUUUUCUAAUGAGCUAAAACUAGGUGAAAAUGUGAGUGGUAGGGACAGUGGAAAGAAAUUUCAGAAAGGGCUUUGGUGGGCGGAGUGAGUGGGCAAGACCACAGUAGAUAAUGUGGAUAAGUUUGAGGUUUUCCAUUAUGCACUUCCAUUCCUCUUCCCAGAGUAUUUCUUCAACUGUUAAGAGUUUGAACAUCAGCAUUUUCCAUAGGGACCUGAGUGUACUUGUAUGUUAUUUGCUGAAAGCUAGUGUGCAGUUAGGACAUUGUUGAUCUUGUUACAAGACGUGAGCACAGCAUUAAAGAAGUCUUUCAAUCGUAUAGAACUUUGAGACAUUCAACUGAAGCAUUGUGUACAGUUUUGGUCCCAUACCUAAGGAUGGAUAUAUUUGCUGUGGAGUGAGUGUAGAAGAGGUUCUUUGAGGAGACGCCCUGUAUUUUCUAGAUUUGAAAAGCAUGAGAGUUAAUUUCAUUGUUACUUACUUGAUAAGCUAGAUUUGGGUGGAUACAGAAAUUAUAUUGCCCAGACUGAGGGUUUUAGAACAUUAGUCUUAGAAUAAGGGCAAGACAUUUUGGAGAAAUGAGGAAUUUCUUAUCAGAGUUUAGGUUGAUAGAAUUUGAUAGUGAUAUCAAUGGAGAUGAUCUAAAUGGCAAAACUGCUGGAGCUGCACUUAUGUUGAAGCAGACAAUUGGAGCAAGAGUUGGUCAUUUGGCCCAUUGAGCCUGCUCUGCCAUUCAGUAUGAUCUCUCUAUUUCAAAGCUUAUACACCUGUUCUACCCCCUACCUUUUGAUGCUUUUGAGUAUCUACAAAUCUGUCUGUUUAAUUCUUAAAUAUAUUCUGUGAUUUGGCCUCCAGUAUCUUAUGUGAUAGAGAAUUCCACAGCUUCACUGCCCUCUGAAUUAAAAGAUUUCUCCUCAUUUCAAUCCUAAACAGUCUGUUCCUUACCCUGAGAUUGUGGCCCCUUGCUCCAGGCAACCAGGAGGAACUUUCAAGGUCCUAACGAAAAUUUGUAGUUUGUGUUGUGGGUGUAAUUGUUUAGCUCGCCGAGCUGGUUGUUCUCUGGUGUGUAGAUGUUUUGUUACCCUUCUAGGCAACAUCAUCAGUGUGACCUCUAAUCAAAGGGUUGAUGUUCUGCUUCCUUCAGGAUUUAUACGAUCCUCUAGUGUGAUGGCCUUGUCACUUCUGGUUCUGUUGUUUUAGCAGCGGUCUGUAUACAGGGUCUAUUUCUGUGUUUGUUAAUGAAGUCCCGUGUUGAAAACCAGGCUUCCAGAAAUUGCAUGUAUGGUGUUCGCUUGUCCUAGUAUGGUCACUUUGUACAAGUCGAACUGAUGGCCCUCAUCACAGACAAUGAGGGCCAACAGAACUGGAAGCAACAAGCCCUUCACACCAGAAUAUCAUAUAAAUUCGGAAGGAAGCAGAACACCAAUGCUUUGAUUAGAGGUCGCACUGAUGUUGUCUAGCAGGGUAACGAAACGUCUGCACACCGGAGAACAACAGGUUCGGCGAACUAACAAACGCCUGCAACUUGGAGGAACCUCGGCCCUUCAUACAGUCUGACCAGCCCUGUCAGAACUUCAUAUGUUUACGAAGUGAUUCUUAAUCCAGGCAUUGAUUGUGGAAGACUGUUGAGCAUGCAUGCGCAUUAGUUGAUGUCCUGAUUCUGAGCCUGAUGUCAUAAUACUGGUUUCACUUAUUGAUAUCAUUUUGUCUGUUCUCAGAGAAAGAGAGAGAGUGAAAGUGAAAGUGAUGAACCUGCAGUCUCCUCCGCCCCAACAACACCAAAAUUGGUACCAGAGCUGAGCCAGAAAGACAAAAAGAAGAAGAAAAAAGAGAAAAAGCAAAAGUUAUUACAAGAAACAGAGGUUAAACCUGAAAGUGAUGAGCCAGAACCUACCUUGCUGACUACGAAGAAGGAGAAGAAAAAAAAGAAAAAAGAGUUAGAAAUUGGAGAAUCUGGGACUAGGAAUGCUGAAAGUUCGAAAAAGAAGAAAAAGAGAAAGGAAAAGGCUGAAUCAGGCGACUGAUGGAGUGGCUCAAAACAUCUGUGUUCGACAACUAGAGGGAGGAAUGUUCAACCGUGAUAGAAUUUGAUGCAAAAGCACCACUUUCAUUUUGAACCGUUGAUCAGAGACAUUGAAGUUGACUUGUGUUGGAAUCACACUUGUGCAAUCUGUAUUACCAGGUUUUUGCUCCCACACUAUCCUGUUAUGAAGAUAGUAUUCAAGGGGUAUUCAUAAAUGGUUUAUCAUGUUCAUAGUUAGCCUCCAGGAACGGUGCAUUGCACUGAUUUUGUUUUUAAAAGUAUUCAUAGCAGAAAACCAGUUGUUUUGCAGGUUGUCAGCAAUUAAUAUAAAGCUAGCGUUGCCUCAUUGUUACAAAUAUCGUAUAUGAUGUUGAUCCCUUUCUGCAAGGGACACAUACAAUAUUGGUAGUAAUGGAAAUAGAGAUUGUGUGAAGCAACUCUGCGUUGGAUAAAAUACUUGCCUCAUGUCUGAUGUCACUUACAGACCAGGGCUAUAGUUGCCCUUGUGACAGCUUUCAGUUACAAAACUUGUAGUUGGGUGGAAACCUGUUUGCAAAAUAUAUCAUGUGGGUUGACAUGACAAUUGCCAUGCUCUGAAUUGGCCCGUGUUGCUUUCCUAACUCUUGUUAGUUGUCGGAGAUAACAAGGUGCAGAGCUGGAUGAACACAGCGGGCCAAGCAGCAU
This is a long non-coding RNA of Rhincodon typus (whale shark), 2874 nucleotides long. RefSeq lists it as uncharacterized. The record is from RefSeq and is a predicted model, not a curated record. NCBI's taxonomy places the organism in Eukaryota, Metazoa, Chordata, Chondrichthyes, Orectolobiformes, Rhincodontidae. The transcript has 3 exons.